UUUCCUUGCAUUCUUGUGACAAAAUUAUUAAAAUGAAUUGAAUGAAAUGAUAUUUAUUUCUCAUCAUCACAAAGGAAAAGUACAGGAUAUACAGCUUGCUUUGCAGACAACACAUCACAACAGCCAUCAAGAGAUGUGCCCACAUAGCCCUGACUGAUUUUGUCUUCUAAUGUCAAUAAAUGAGAGUAUUUCUCAUCUUCACAGCAAGCUGCAAGUGUUGCACGAGAAUAAGCAUCUAUAGCAGUAAGGACCGGGAGAAUUGGCGCGCCCGUGAGGCGGCCUAUGUCCAGCAGUGGAUAAAUGUGGGCUGAAUAUGAUGAUGAGCAGUAUGCAGUCGGUGA
This is a long non-coding RNA of Nymphalis io (European peacock), 341 nucleotides long. RefSeq lists it as uncharacterized. The record is from RefSeq and is a predicted model, not a curated record. The transcript is spliced from 4 exons. NCBI's taxonomy places the organism in Eukaryota, Metazoa, Arthropoda, Insecta, Lepidoptera, Nymphalidae.